RNAcentral lists this ribosomal RNA (450 nucleotides) under uncultured bacterium. RNAcentral describes it as "partial 16S ribosomal RNA". It matches the Rfam family "Bacterial small subunit ribosomal RNA", at positions 338 to 795 of the family's 1533-position model. The record is from RNAcentral.
CCUACGGGUGGCUGCAGUAAGGAAUAUUGGUCAAUGGACGAAAGUCUGAACCAGCCAUCCCGCGUGCAGGAUGAAAGCCCUAUGGGUUGUAAACUGCUUUUAGCAGAGAAGAAAAGCUUUCAUUAAUGAGAGUCUGACGGUAUCUGCAGAAUAAGCACCGGCUAACUCCGUGCCAGCAGCCGCGGUAAUACGGAGGGUGCGAGCGUUAUCGGGAUUAACUGGGGUGAAGGUGUGCGUAUACGGCGUUGUAGAAAUUCUGUGGCUUAACGAUAGAAUUGCCAAUGAUACUGGUACUCGUGAAUUGGGUUGAGGUUAGCGGAAUGUGACAUGUAGCGGUGAAAUGCAUAGAUAUGUCAUGGAACACCAAUUGCGAAGGCAGCUAACUGGGCCUUGAUUGACGCUGAGGCACGAAAGCGUGGGUAGCGAACAGGAUUAGAUACCCCAGUAGUC